RNAcentral lists this ribosomal RNA (301 nucleotides) under uncultured bacterium. RNAcentral describes it as "partial 16S ribosomal RNA". It matches the Rfam family "Bacterial small subunit ribosomal RNA", at positions 509 to 807 of the family's 1533-position model. The record is from RNAcentral.
CAGUCGCCGCGGUAAUACGAAGGGGGCUAGCGUUGUUCGGAAUUACUGGGCGUAAAGCGCACGUAGGUGGUUUGUUAAGUUGGAUGUGAAAUCCCCGGGCUCAACCUGGGAACUGCAUUCAAAACUGACUGACUAGAGUAUGGUAGAGGGUGGUGGAAUUUCCUGUGUAGCGGUGAAAUGCGUAGAGAUCGGGAGGAACAUCAGUGGCGAAGGCGGCCAUCUGGGACAACACUGACGCUGAGGCACGAAAGCGUGGGGAGCAAACAGGAUUAGAUACCCGGGUAGUCCCUGUCUCUUAUAC